AGGCGGUGUUAACGGAGAAACCAGUUACUGGAGUUCUGUUGAUGAGAAUGUUCCGUUUCCAAGAUCAGAUGAGGGGUUAUGAUGAGAGUUUCGGUUUUAUAUGGGAGCCUUUACACAUAGCUUGGAGAUCAAAAGAGAAGAGUGACACGGAUCUUUGAAAUUGUCAUAAUGACUUAUCCUCUCAUACCUGAGUUGUUUUUUGUUUCUCGAUGGAGAUGUUGGAGUCUCCAUUGCUUGUCUCCGGGAUCCUCCAAUGUGUAACUCCAACUUAACUGUGUCUUCGCGGGUGACAGAAUUUUGUUUCAGACGAAAUUAAAAUAGAAAGAUAGAUCAGUUGGAGAAUGGAUUACUGCCCUUAAAAACAAAGUUAGGUAUCGUCAGAUGUAAAUCUGCAACUUAAGUCUUCAUUAGGUCUACUGAUUUUCGUUGGAGAUGAUCAAUACAAAGAUAGAUCAGUUUGGAGAAUGGAGCUCUAGUCUUACAAACAAAGUUAGGUGUAAUUUGUUGGAAGUUCUCGAAAUCACAUGUUACACCUGUUGAAAUGCAGAUCUGCAGAAAAUUGAAGAUCUGAUAUAUCGGUAAUGGUUCAAUUAGAGAUGUUUUAAGUUUACCAAAGCAUUCAAUUGGCUUUAGUUGGGAAAUUUCAGGCUGCAUUCUUAUCUGAUUCUCGGAAUGUUGUAUUUGUAACUUUGGAUU
This is a long non-coding RNA of Papaver somniferum (opium poppy), 696 nucleotides long. RefSeq lists it as uncharacterized. The record is from RefSeq and is a predicted model, not a curated record. Lineage: Eukaryota; Viridiplantae; Streptophyta; Magnoliopsida; Ranunculales; Papaveraceae. The transcript has 3 exons.